AGACUAAUAACACCUAAACAGGCAAGUUGUCUGUAAGUUUGACACAUCAGAGAAACCGUGCCACAGCAUGUCUCAUAUAAGGUCAGACAAUUAUUCAAUCAAGCUUGAUCCUUAAAGUUUGUAUUUUUUUCUCUCUCUUUUGGUUUAGUUAUUUUCCUUUCUUCCCUUGCCAGUACCAUAUGUAGGAUACCUUCAGUCUCCAUGGGUUUUAUGAAAGCUUCUGCUAGGUCUUUAAAUGAUCUAAUUUACUGAGAUUAUUACACCUACAGUUAUUGAGAUCUGAGGGGUAAUGCUGUUCAAAAUUUGUUUUUGGUUUGGUUCUUGAAAUUAUUUUGCUAGUGCAACUACUAGUAGUGUUACCUCUAGAACAGAAGAAGAGGAAGCUUUGAGUGGAGAUGUAGUUGUCUUCCUUGCUGAGACGGAGUAUGGCAGUGCUGCAGUGCAGAGAUACUCAAGCUGGCAUUAAGCUAGUUUCUUUGGGUACUGGAAGCAUGCUGGCUACAGCAGAGUGGAGUCCAGUAUGUUCUGAUUUUCUUUGCCAAAAAGCUUAGCAACCUGGGCAGCAAUGAACCAAUAACAGUAAACAGCAAUAUCUGGAUGGAAUUUUAUGGGGGAGUUUGUUCUGAAAUUUUUCAUGUUCCCUAUACUGCUACCUCUCUUGCUUCCAUAGUCUUUUCUCUCUCUUUUCCAACUUCAAAGAAAAAAAUGAAGCAAACAAGGACAACAGGAUGCAGAAGCUGUGAGCAAUACAUCAUCCAAGCGCAGAUGCGUGACUGCAGCUAUUUCUCACACGAAAGGUACAAAAGAAGGACUCGUUAG
This 819-nucleotide long non-coding RNA is filed under the name Numida meleagris (helmeted guineafowl). Its description in RNAcentral is "lncRNA (ENSNMEG00000000110.1)". Lineage: Eukaryota; Metazoa; Chordata; Aves; Galliformes; Numididae. The record is from RNAcentral.